UACAGAGGGUGCAAGCGUUGUUCGGAAUUAUUGGGCGUAAAGCGCGUGUAGGCGGCUUGGCAAGUCGGGUGUGAAAUCCCUCAGCUCAACUGAGGAAGUGCGCCCGAAACUGCUGAGCUUGAGUACUGGAGAGGGUGGCGGAAUUCCCCAUGUAGAGGUGAAAUUCGUAGAUAUGGGGAGGAACACCGGUGGCGAAGGCGGCCACCUGGCCAGAUACUGACGCUGAGACGCGAAAGCGUGGGUAGCAAACAGG
This 253-nucleotide ribosomal RNA is filed under the name uncultured bacterium. Its description in RNAcentral is "partial 16S ribosomal RNA". It matches the Rfam family "Bacterial small subunit ribosomal RNA", at positions 524 to 776 of the family's 1533-position model. The record is from RNAcentral.